CAAGUACGCGGGUUCCGCAUCCGCGGAUUCAACCAAUUGCCAAUAGUAAAGGUAGUACUAUAAGAUCCGAGGCUGGUUGAAUCCGUGGAUGCGGAACUCGCAGCUAUGGGUAUGGACCCCCGACUGUAUUUGCUGUUUUGAAACUGUGCUGCGUGUAGCUUCUGCAGGGACCUCUGAGCACUAAGGGAUUUAAAUCGUUAGUAGAAGGCCUAGGAAAAUAGGGCUUUGAGGGGCUGCCCCAAAACCCUUUCUGUAAGUAGGACCAAGGAUAAAAAUGGAGGGACUAUGCUUCAAUUUAAGUGGUUUCACGUGCUCAAGAGGCACCUCCCAUAUAUGGCCUCAAGUUGCCUCCGGAUUGAUUAGUUACUUAAAACAAGAGGAAUAUUCCUCAGGUGGCCCGUUUCUGAGGUAAAGAAAGCCAUGGUGGAGACAGACGGUCAACACGCCUGCUUACACGGGAUCGUGGGUGCUGCAUGACUAGAAAGAACCCACGUUUAAUUAGGAACUACGGAGAAUGGAAGUUAAGAGGUUGUCACAUACUCCAUGGGAAAGAAAAACAAGAUAAGACCUGAUUUGCUAUGUCCUUCUCAUCCAGUCAUCCCUGGCAUCAGCAUCUUCCUGGAAUUUACAUAGAGGAAGGAGAAGAUAAAGGAAAAAAGCCAACAUUGACCUCUAUCCAGCAUCCAGCCCACUCGCCUUCUGCCUGGGGACUGCUGAUGGUACUGUCAGCUGUUCAAAGAGCUCUGCCUGUUUAUUGAUGAGCUGUCUAAAAGAUUCAACAGGUAAAUUUUGAAUGAAUAACUUAAAAUGAUUAUUUUGUGGGACAAUAAAGUAUUACCUUAUCCGGUACACCUUGACAUCUUCACCAGAUCCUGCUCCUGUAUGUGCCAAAGAUUUCAAGGACUGAAUCAUAAACAUCAUCCUCCCAACCUUCUGUCCAUCUAUCCAUCCAUCCGUUCAUCCAUCCAUUCAGCAUAUUUUGAGCACCUGCUGUGUCCUUUGUUUUGCACUAGACACCAAGGUUACAAAGAAUUAGAAAAACCUCUGACUUCAAGAAGUUCUCAGUAGUCUAGGGGGGAAAUAGAUACCAAAUAAUUAAAAUAAACUGUGGAUGAUGUGUUAUGGAAACUAGAAGGGGAAGCACAUAGCUAUGGCUUCACAAAAAAGGUGACUUUUAAUCUGAGUUGAGGAUAAAUGGGUGCUCUGCGUAUGGAGAAUGAAGAGAAAGAAAGACAGCCAUUGAUUGAACUCUGCUAUGUGGCAGGCUCCAGAAUAGGAUUUAUUUGAUGUAAGAACAUUCAGUUAACCCUGGGAGCAGACUUAUCAUCUCCACUUUAUAGAUGAAACUCAAGAUCAGAGAGAGGAAGCAACUCUAUCAAGAUUACAUGGGCGGUGCUCUAAGAGCUGAAACAUAAGCCCAAAUCUGCAGAAUCAAAAGGCUCAUAGUUAGUUCCACUAUGAUAUCCUGGCAGAGAGGAUGAUUUUUCAAAACAUUGCUUAACAUUAACAGAGAUGGGAAAAUAGGGACAAGAAUGACUCCCAGCUGUGAAGCAAGAAAAGUGUAUCUCAUCUUUGUCACUAGCUGCUGUGGCUCAGUGUGGUUGCCCUGUUCCAAACUAAAGAAAUAUUCCUCGAUCUGAACUUUUUCAGUCUUCUCAACAGCAACAUUAACCUGUCAUAUUUUCCAUAGUCUCAAAGCCACUUGUUCUGCCACUUUGUUAGUGAAACUGACAGUUUUAAAUAGGCUAAUCUGUAAACAAAUCAGGAUAAAUUUCCCAACCUGCUAUCUUUAGGACAUCAAAAUCAUUUUUUCUAGCUUAUCAAUUCCCAAUAAAAAUAUAAAGGGAGUUAC
Molecule: long non-coding RNA, 1852 nt
Organism: Equus caballus (horse)
Lineage: Eukaryota; Metazoa; Chordata; Mammalia; Perissodactyla; Equidae
Source: Ensembl